Molecule: long non-coding RNA, 2141 nt
Filed under: Phasianus colchicus (ring-necked pheasant)
Lineage: Eukaryota; Metazoa; Chordata; Aves; Galliformes; Phasianidae
Description: lncRNA (ENSPCLG00000022175.1)
Source: RNAcentral
GACGUGGCAUCCUAGCAGCCCUAAUCAAUCAGGGAGUUCCCAGGUGACCGAAUACUUGCUAAUGUGCUGCCCAUCUACGAGAAGGAUCAUCCUGAUGUCCUCCUAUGACUACAUACCCACCUGGUGGAUGAGAUGCUGUGGGUGGAAGCUACCUGGACUGGAGCAAAGCUUCUGACACUGCCUCCUGCAGCAUUCUCCUGGAGAAGCUGGCAGUCCAUGGCUGGGAUGGGUACACUCUUUGCUGAGUAAAAAACUGCUAGGAGGGCCAGGCCUAGAGAGAUCCAGAUGGAAUCCAGUUCUGAGAGGCAUUCCUCAGGGGUCGGCGCUGCAGCCUGUCCUGUUCAGUGUAUUCACUGACGAGUCGGAUGAGGGAAUUGGGUGCACCCUCAGGAAGUUUGCAGAUGACACCAAGUUAGGAGGAAGCGUCCCACAGACGGACUGAGAUAGGCUGAAUCACUGGGCUGACUGCAACUGCAUGAGCUUUAAGAACGUCAAGAGCUGAGUGCUGCUUUUCGGCUACAGAACCCCCAGCCAUCGUCACUACAGGCUUGGAGCAGAGCGGCUGUAAGGCUGCACGGACGAAAAGGGUCUGGGGUGCUGGUGACAGCCGGCAGUGCCCUCCAGUCGCUGUGAUUUGCCAGUGGCCCCAGGGGUUCUAAAUUGCUAGCGGUUGUCCUUGUCCCAUCAACUGCAGCCCAGCCCAGCCCAGCCGCUCCCUACAAGAAGACAUGGCGGCCCUGGAGUGUAUCCACAGAGGGGCACCAAAGCUGGGAGGGGUCUGGAGCGCAAGACUUAACGGGGAGUGGGAGAGGGAGCUGGGAUGGUUCCGUGUAGAGAAGAGGAGGCUCAGGGCAGACCUUAUCGCUCCGUCCAGCUACCUGGAGGGAGGUUACAGUGAGAUGGGACCUCUUCUCCCAGGAUUGAACCAGGGCAGCUCAUGAGGAGGUGCUGAGUGUUUGAAAAACACUGAAGAUGACUUCAGGUUUUCAAGCAGAGCUCCACCAUGUGAACACAAGCAGCCGGUGCCAUCUCGAGAGGCCCUGGUGUUCCUGAGGUACCUGCCUGGGACUAAAAGUUGUCAGAGAGAACCUGCAGGAGACCAGAGCCCUUUGGGACUGCAGAUGGAGCCUGGAAGGAGAGCCCCAAGGGACCUAAUUGCUAGCAUUUGUCUGUCCCUGUAGCUGCAGCCCAGCCCGGCACUAAAUCCUCCCCCCCCACAAUAAGACAGUGGAUCGUUGGGGAUGAUCCACAGUUGAAGUGGCCACUGGAAUCCAAGAAACUCUUCCUGGUUCUUAGUAGAUAUCCAGAUAUCCACAAAACAUCCUGGAUUAUCUGUGGCAAACUCAGACUGAAAGAGUCGAGUGCAGGUCAUGCCAAGUAACUGUGGUAGAAUCCAUUAUUUGGGGAGAACAUCUCCUUUCAGCUAGGGAAGUUAAGUGGAACAGUGUGAAAAGAUCCAUCCGGCCAAUCCUCUGAGUAAGGGAAAAUCAAAUGUAUUGUGCUAUAGUGGCAGAAGGCAAACAUUAUUGGACUGUGCCUCAAUUUACUAAAAGCUGUCUAAUCCACUUAACCCAUGAGCAAAAACAAAUGGUCUAAGCGGAGUGAAGGACACUGAUUUGUGGCAUAACAUGAGGAAGACAGUAGAUUGCUGAUGUAAGAACUGUCAUGCUUGUGCCCUGACCAGUGCUGAUUAUGCUGGAGUAAAAGCCUCAGGCCAGCACCAGUGUGCCGAAGGCCCAUGGGAAUGACUGCAGAUUGCCUUUGCAGAACUUCAGCCCACGACAGCUCAGAGCAACAAAUGCAUCUUGGUAUUAGUAGUUCCUUUUUGCAACGGGGCAAUAGCCAUUUAUCCCUUCACAAAGGCCAGUGCUGAGAAACCAAAGGCUCUACAAUAUCAUUCAUAUAACUCUAUGUGUAGAGAAAAUGGCUUUGAUCCAAAAAGCUAAUAGUAUAGACAGAUAACAGAAAAGGCAGAAUACCAGAAGGCAUGCCACAACAGCAAAAUGACACAUCAGUGACAAUGAGCUUGUGUUUCUCUGUUUAUUUCAAAUAUGUUUUUUUCUCUCUUCUGCAUUGAUUGCCACAUUGUAGAAAGGAUUGAAGGGAAUAAAAAGCUAAAUAUAUUAGAAUUAUUCGGGAAG